Molecule: ribosomal RNA, 120 nt
Filed under: Nadsonia fulvescens var. elongata DSM 6958
Lineage: Eukaryota; Fungi; Ascomycota; Dipodascomycetes; Dipodascales
Source: RNAcentral
GUCUGCGGUCCUAUCCAUUGGAAAGCACGAUUUCCCGUCCGAUCAAUCAUAGUUAAAUCAGUGAGAGCCUCCAGAAGACUACGGUGGGAGACCACGUGGGAACAAGAGGUGCUACAGUCU